GUGGAUUAGAUACCCUAGUAGUCCACGCCCUAAACGAUGUCAACUGGUUGUUGGGGGAGUGAAAUCCCUUAGUAACGAAGCUAACGCGUGAAGUUGACCGCCUGGGGAGUACGGUCGCAAGAUUAAAACUCAAAGGAAUUGACGGGGACCCGCACAAGCGGUGGAUGAUGUGGAUUAAUUCGAUGCAACGCGAAAAACCUUACCUACCCUUGACAUGUCCAGAAUCCUGCAGAGAUGCGGGAGUGCCCGAAAGGGAAUUGGAACACAGGUGCUGCACGGUUGUCGACAACU
This 291-nucleotide ribosomal RNA is filed under the name uncultured bacterium. RNAcentral's name for it is "partial 16S ribosomal RNA". It matches the Rfam family "Bacterial small subunit ribosomal RNA", at positions 773 to 1060 of the family's 1533-position model. The record is from RNAcentral.